AAUCCAUAGGUUAAUGAGGCGAACCGGGGGAACUGAAACAUCUAAGUACCCCGAGGAAAAGAAAUCAACCGAGAUUCCCCCAGUAGCGGCGAGCGAACGGGGAGGAGCCCAGAGCCUGAAUCAGCAUGUGUGUUAGUGGAAGCGUCUGGAAAGGCGCGCGAUACAGGGUGACAGCCCCGUACACAAAAGCGCAUGUGUUGUGAGCUCGAUGAGUAGGGCGGGACACGUGGUAUCCUGUCUGAAUAUGGGGGGACCAUCCUCCAAGGCUAAAUACUCCUGACUGACCGAUAGUGAACCAGUACCGUGAGGGAAAGGCGAAAAGAACCCCGGCGAGGGGAGUGAAAAAGAACCUGAAACCGUGUACGUACAAGCAGUGGGAGCACAGGUUUACCUGUGUGACUGCGUACCUUUUGUAUAAUGGGUCAGCGACUUAUAUUCUGUAGCAAGGUUAACCGAAUA
Molecule: ribosomal RNA, 459 nt
Filed under: Salmonella enterica subsp. enterica
Lineage: Bacteria; Pseudomonadati; Pseudomonadota; Gammaproteobacteria; Enterobacterales; Enterobacteriaceae
Description: partial 23S ribosomal RNA
Rfam family: Bacterial large subunit ribosomal RNA
Source: RNAcentral